GCUACCUUCAGGAUCAAACUAGGGACAAACGAGUGUGGAAUCGAAUCCUUCGUCAUUGCCUCCCGUGCCAAACUUGCGAACGUCAUGUACGGCCUUGAAGGGGACUAUUAGUACCUUGGGCCAUUAUUUGUUCCAGAGGCCACCUUCAGUUCAUUAUUUAUGCAGUAACAACCCAGUGGUCUGUGCGAUAACAAGGUCUGAAGGACUAGACUCUGCAACUCGUUGGAAGGAUUGAGGAAACAAGGUUUGCAAAUUUUACAAAUUUAUUUUAAAAAAUAAACUCUAAUAACA
Long non-coding RNA from Macrobrachium nipponense, 291 nucleotides. RefSeq lists it as uncharacterized. The transcript has 2 exons. NCBI's taxonomy places the organism in Eukaryota, Metazoa, Arthropoda, Malacostraca, Decapoda, Palaemonidae. The record is from RefSeq and is a predicted model, not a curated record.